GGGAAACUGCCUGAUGGAGGGGGAUAACUACUGGAAACGGUAGCUAAUACCGCAUAACGUCGCAAGACCAAAGAGGGGGACCUUCGGGCCUCUUGCCAUCAGAUGUGCCCAGAUGGGAUUAGCUAGUAGGUGGGGUAAUGGCUCACCUAGGCGACGAUCCCUAGCUGGUCUGAGAGGAUGACCAGCCACACUGGAACUGAGACACGGUCCAGACUCCUACGGGAGGCAGCAGUGGGGAAUAUUGCACAAUGGGCGCAAGCCUGAUGCAGCCAUGCCGCGUGUGUGAAGAAGGCCUUCGGGUUGUAAAGCACUUUCAGCGAGGAGGAAGGUGGUGAACUUAAUACGUUCAUCAAUUGACGUUACUCGCAGAAGAAGCACCGGCUAACUCCGUGCCAGCAGCCGCGGUAAUACGGAGGGUGCAAGCGUUAAUCGGAAUUACUGGGCGUAAAGCGCACGCAGGCGGUUUGUUAA
RNAcentral lists this ribosomal RNA (471 nucleotides) under Serratia marcescens. RNAcentral describes it as "bacterial SSU rRNA". It matches the Rfam family "Bacterial small subunit ribosomal RNA", at positions 120 to 586 of the family's 1533-position model. Lineage: Bacteria; Pseudomonadati; Pseudomonadota; Gammaproteobacteria; Enterobacterales; Yersiniaceae. The record is from RNAcentral.